CCUACGGGUGGCUGCAGUGGGGAAUAUUGCACAAUGGGCGCAAGCCUGAUGCAGCCAUGCCGCGUGUGUGAAAAAGGCCUUCGGGUUGUAAAGCACUUUCAGCGGGGAGGAAGGCGGUGAGGUUAAUAACCUCAUCGAUUGACGUUACCCGCAGAAGAAGCACCGGCUAACUCCGUGCCAGCAGCCGCGGUAAUAUGGAGGGUGCAAGCGUUAAUCGGAAUUACUGGGCGUAAAGCGCACGCAGGCGGUCUGUCAAGUCGGAUGUGAAAUCCCCGGGCUCAACCUGGGAACUGCAUUCGAAACUGGCAGGCUAGAGUCUUGUAGAGGGGGGUAGAAUUCCAGGUGUAGCGGUGAAAUGCGUAGAGAUCUGGAGGAAUACCGGUGGCGAAGGCGGCCCCCUGGACAAAGACUGACGCUCAGGUGCGAAAGCGUGGGAAGCAAACAGGAUUAGAUACCCUAGUAGUC
This 465-nucleotide ribosomal RNA is filed under the name uncultured Klebsiella sp. Its description in RNAcentral is "bacterial SSU rRNA". It matches the Rfam family "Bacterial small subunit ribosomal RNA", at positions 338 to 795 of the family's 1533-position model. Lineage: Bacteria; Pseudomonadati; Pseudomonadota; Gammaproteobacteria; Enterobacterales; Enterobacteriaceae. The record is from RNAcentral.